Oryza nivara is the source of this 205-nucleotide non-coding RNA. NCBI's taxonomy places the organism in Eukaryota, Viridiplantae, Streptophyta, Magnoliopsida, Poales, Poaceae. The record is from Rfam.
AAUGUUUGGCGCCGUUGACUUUUUAGCACAUGUUUGACCGUUCGUCUUAUUCAAAAAAUUUAAGUAAUUAUUAAUUCUUUUUCUAUCAUUUGAUUCAUUGUUAAAUAUAUUUUUAUGUAGGCAUAUAAUUUUACAUAUUUCAUAAAAAUUUUUGAAUAAGACGAACGGUUAAACAUGUGCUAAAAAGUCAACGGCGUCAAACAUU